UAUUAUGAUGACCAAUAUUUAAAAUUACAAACUAGAGUUUCUGAAAAAUCUUGUGAUUAGAAACUAAAUAUAUUUGAGCUGAAU
This 84-nucleotide small nucleolar RNA is filed under the name Hanseniaspora osmophila. Its description in RNAcentral is "Small nucleolar RNA snR78". It matches the Rfam family "Small nucleolar RNA snR78". The record is from Rfam by way of RNAcentral. Lineage: Eukaryota; Fungi; Ascomycota; Saccharomycetes; Saccharomycodales; Saccharomycodaceae.